GAUGAAGAACGUAGCGAAAUGCGAUACUUGGUGUGAAUUGCAGAAUCCCGUGAACCAUCGAGUCUUUGAACGCAAGUUGCGCCCGAAGCCAUUUGGUUGAGGGCACGUCUGCCUGGGCGUCACAUAUCGUUGCCCGAUGCCUAUUGCACUGUGAUAGGAAAUUCUAGGGCGAAAGAUGGCUUCCCGUGAGCGUUGUUGCCUCGCGGUUGGUUGAAAAUUGAGUCCUUGGUAGGGUGUGCCAUGAUAGAUGGUGGUCGAGUUUGCACGAGACCGAUCAUGUGUGCGCUCCCCAAAAUAUGGACUCUUUGACCCCACACGCGUCUUUUGACGCACAUGACGAGACCUCAGGUCAGGCGGGGCUACCCGCUGAGUUUAAGCAUAUCAAUAAGCGGAGGA
RNAcentral lists this unclassified non-coding RNA (396 nucleotides) under soil metagenome. RNAcentral's name for it is "partial contains 5.8S ribosomal RNA, internal transcribed spacer 2, and large subunit ribosomal RNA". The stretch from base 1 to 122 matches the Rfam family "5.8S ribosomal RNA", at positions 35 to 154 of the family's 154-position model. The record is from RNAcentral.